AUGCCACACUCGUUCCAGCCAGGGACUCGGGAGAGGGAGAAGGAGGUAAGAGUGAGACUCAGAGCGCGGCGCCGCGUGUCUCCGCUGCGCGAGCACCGGCGUUCCUUAAAUGAGUGUGAAGUGGGCUGCUCACAUCAGCUGUUUGUUGUCGUCGCGGCUCGCGGAAUCAGCGUGGAACCAGUGGAACUACUCACCAGUGUUCUACCUGCUGGACUACGUGGAUCCAUCGACCCAGUAACAAUGCAGAAACACACCAGAAUCAUUGCAGCACCAGGGUCGAAUCUGGAAAUUAAAGGUAAACAAUCAACUGGAAAAAUAUCAAAACACUUUAAACUGGAAUAGUUGAAAUAGUUAAAAGUAAUUAUUGUGGCCACUUGAGGGCAGCAGAAAUAUGUUUAUAUGCUUAUGGAUUUACAGCAUAGAUUCUGGUCGGUCCUCAAGAACUUCCCCGGCAUUUUAGCGCCUGACUAAUAAAACGCAUCUGAUCCAGGUCA
RNAcentral lists this long non-coding RNA (494 nucleotides) under Betta splendens (Siamese fighting fish). RNAcentral describes it as "lncRNA (ENSBSLG00000013817.1)". Lineage: Eukaryota; Metazoa; Chordata; Actinopteri; Anabantiformes; Osphronemidae. The record is from RNAcentral.